Sapajus apella (tufted capuchin) is the source of this 1401-nucleotide long non-coding RNA. RefSeq lists it as uncharacterized. The record is from RefSeq and is a predicted model, not a curated record. The transcript has 2 exons. Lineage: Eukaryota; Metazoa; Chordata; Mammalia; Primates; Cebidae.
CCUCAGGUGAUCCACCUGCCUCAGCCUCCCAAAGUGCUGGGAUUACAGGUAUGAGCCACCUGCCGGCCGACGUGGCCUUUCUGUACAGUUGUGCUUAGGACUAGAGUGACUGUGUCCUCCCCAGCCCCCAGGUGUCCUGGUGCACGGGACUGUCACCGCCAGAAAGUGGCUGGCACUGCAGGCAGGCUCUGUGCACAGCUGGGAGUGGGGCUGCCACCUCCUCUUGCCCUUUUACUGUAAAGCCCAGAAAAUAAGCUUACAGGUGGCAGGUCCUUGGUCUAACCUGGCUCUUCAGGGAGACAGAAGCUCCACUUCCUCAUUUCCAAAUGAAGAAAUGUGCUCAGAGAAGCCUUGGGGUCGCCUUCUCUCACAUCCAGAAUUCAUUCAAAACUCCUGCCCUUCUUACCCCCACCACUCCUGGGCACAUCAAAGCCCUGGGAAAUGAAGUCACGGGGUGAGGGUUCAGUGGCCCCUGCAUCCCCGCUGCCCCGCCCCUUCACCUGCUGCCCCGCCCCUGCACCUGUUGCCCCGCCCCUGCACCUGUUGCCCCGCCCCUGCACCACCACCUCCUUUCCUCGCACCGUGUUCGCCUCUGCCUGGGCAGCCUCAGAAGGGAACCCCAGUCUGCGCAGGGAUGGCUCACUGCUUCCUGAAGCCCCUGUUUGCUCUCAGGAAAUCUUGGGGACCCCAAUGUGGCUGAGUUCCUGGUGGAAACCCUGCCCCUCCCCUGAGCAUCCACAGAGAAAUGUGGGUUCCCUGCUCAUCUGCCUGGGACGCAAUUAGAGGCAUAAUUAAAAUGUCACUCAGGUCUCUUUGUCCCUAGACAGGCUCAUGCCCGUGGGGAGUUACGAGCAGGGCUUUCUGGCUGCCCCAAGGGAAGAAGACAGAGGGAGGAGGGCUGCAGCCCAGUGGGAGACGGGUUCCUAGGGGCUACGGUCUUGCUCAGGGAUGACUGCCGAAGGGAGGUACUCUUCAGGCGAAGCCCAGGCAGGUGAGUAGGGACUGUGCCUGCCAGAGUGAGGCUUCCCAAGAGAGAGAAAUGACUACCUACACCGACUAACCAGGGACUCGGAGGGGCCAAGAAAAGCCACCGACCCCAAACCCCAGAAUUUGUUGCUUGGCCAUUGAUGGAAAAAGCUCUGAGCAUUCAAGAAGACCCAGGGACCUGGCUUGAUUUGCAGUUUUAAGGAGCUUCUGGCUGGGGGUUCAGUGGACCCAGGGGACAAGGAUGAGAGGGGCAGCCAGAACCAGCCGAGCCACAGAGCUCAGUCAAGAUUUGCUGGGUGCCAGGCACCGUGGCUCAUGCCCAUAAUCCUAGCACUUUGGGAGGCUGAGGCAGGAGGAUCCCAUGAGGCCAAGAGUUUGAGAUCAACUUGGGUAACAGCGAGACAACAUCUCUAC